GGCAGGUCCAAUGGUAAUGGGUUACCAGAAUUUAGCAUUAGUGUCACUAAAGUUGAUAUAUGACUCCCCACUGUUAAAUUUGACUGGCUUAUA
Callithrix jacchus (white-tufted-ear marmoset) is the source of this 93-nucleotide Y RNA. It matches the Rfam family "Y RNA". Rfam says of the family: Y RNAs are components of the Ro ribonucleoprotein particle (Ro RNP), in association with Ro60 and La proteins. The Y RNAs and Ro60 and La proteins are well conserved, but the function of the Ro RNP is not known. In humans the RNA component can be one of four small RNAs -- hY1, hY3, hY4 and hY5. The record is from Ensembl. Lineage: Eukaryota; Metazoa; Chordata; Mammalia; Primates; Cebidae.